GUAGUACCAGCUGCAGUUGUGGUGGCAUUGGCUGUUGUAGUGUGGGCUGCAGUUGUGGUGACAGGGGAAGUUGUAGUGGCAACUGCUGUUGUAGUACCAGCUGCAGUUGUGGUGGCAUUGGCUGUUGUAGUGUGGGCUGCAGUUGUGGUGACAGGUGAAGUUGUAGUAGCAGCCGCAGUUGUAGUGUUAGCCUCUGUCGUAAGAGUGGCUGCAGUUGUGGUGGCAUUGGCUGUUGUAGUGUGGGCUGCAGUUGUGGUGACAGGGGAAGUUGUAGUGGCAACUGCUGUUGUGGUACCAGCUGCAGUUGUGG
Molecule: long non-coding RNA, 310 nt
Organism: Oncorhynchus tshawytscha (Chinook salmon)
Lineage: Eukaryota; Metazoa; Chordata; Actinopteri; Salmoniformes; Salmonidae
Source: Ensembl